This 103-nucleotide small nuclear RNA is filed under the name Castor canadensis (American beaver). Lineage: Eukaryota; Metazoa; Chordata; Mammalia; Rodentia; Castoridae. The record is from RNAcentral.
UUGCUUUGGCAGCACAUACACUAAAAUUGAAACAACUCAGAGAAAACUAGCAUGGCCCCUGCACAUGAUUCACGCCCAAAUUUGUGAAGCAUUCCAUAUUUUU